UAUAUUGGCAGAAUAGUGCAUUAGGUUUAGAUCCUAAUAAUGUAAUAUUUAUUACAUUUAACA
Molecule: transfer RNA, 63 nt
Filed under: China mantispoides
Lineage: Eukaryota; Metazoa; Arthropoda; Insecta; Orthoptera; Chorotypidae
Description: tRNA-Leu
Source: RNAcentral